GGCUGGCCUCCAGAGCGGGUUGUGAGGAAAUCUGAAGUCUGGUUUAAAAUCACAUCAGAUCAAAGGAGACGUCCUGAAAAUCCUGGCUACAGACAAGAAGGAUAAGGAAAGAAAAGCUACAAAACAGGUGACGCCCACAGAGAGCUGAUCACACACUCGCUAACUUCUCUGAAAAAAAAAAAUGUCCACCGCAGCAACAGCAUCACCAAAGCUACUCUCACUGAGAGCAUUCCAGAAAUUAAUCCCAGAAGAUGUCCGAGCUCACAAUAUUGCUCAACUGGUUCUGCAGACAGGUGUAACCCUGAACAAUACACACCAAUACCAGAAUAGUAUUUGACUGUUUUGCCAGUAAAAUAAACCAUGUAUGGAACUAC
This is a long non-coding RNA of Myodes glareolus (Bank vole), 374 nucleotides long. RefSeq lists it as uncharacterized. Lineage: Eukaryota; Metazoa; Chordata; Mammalia; Rodentia; Cricetidae. The record is from RefSeq and is a predicted model, not a curated record.